GGCUUUGUGGUCGAGUGGUAAGGACACUUGCCUCUCAUCCUGGAGUCCCGGGAUCGAUCCCCGAUACUGGGUACCU
This 76-nucleotide transfer RNA is filed under the name Rhamnusium bicolor. Its description in RNAcentral is "tRNA-OTHER". Lineage: Eukaryota; Metazoa; Arthropoda; Insecta; Coleoptera; Cerambycidae. The record is from RNAcentral.